Molecule: ribosomal RNA, 253 nt
Filed under: uncultured bacterium
Lineage: Bacteria
Description: partial 16S ribosomal RNA
Rfam family: Bacterial small subunit ribosomal RNA
Source: RNAcentral
CACGUACGGGGCGAGCGUUGUUCGGAAUUAUUGGGCGUAAAGGGCGUGCAGGCGGUUUUGCAAGUCUGAUGUGAAAACUCUGGGCUUAACUCAGAAUCCGCGUUGGAAACUGCAAGACUAGAAUCUUGGAGGGGGAGUUGGAAUUCCUAGUGUAGGGGUGAAAUCUGUUGAUAUUAGGAAGAACACCGGUGGCGAAGGCGAACUCCUGGCCGAAGAUUGACGCUGAGGCGCGAAAGCGUAGGUAGCAAACAGG